UACGUAGGGUGCGAGCGUUAAUCGGAAUUACUGGGCGUAAAGUGUGCGCAGGCGGCCGCGCAAGUCGAGUGUGAAAGCCCCGGGCUUAACUUGGGAAUUGCGCUCGAAACUACGUGGCUGGAGUGUGGCAGAGGAAGGUGGAAUUCCAGGUGUAGCGGUGAAAUGCGUAGAGAUCGGGAGGAACACCAGAGGCGAAGGCGGCUCGCUGGACGAUGACUGACACUCAACUGCGAAAGCGUGGGGAGCAAACAGG
RNAcentral lists this ribosomal RNA (253 nucleotides) under uncultured bacterium. Its description in RNAcentral is "partial 16S ribosomal RNA". It matches the Rfam family "Bacterial small subunit ribosomal RNA", at positions 524 to 776 of the family's 1533-position model. The record is from RNAcentral.